GGGUAGGGAUACCCGCUGAACUUAAGCAUAUCAAUAAGCGGAGGAAAAGAAACCAACAGGGAUUGCCCUAGUAACGGCGAGUGAAGCGGCAAUAGCUCAGAUUUGAAAGCUGGUGUCUUUGACACACGCGUUGUAAUCUGUAGAGGGGUGUUCGGGUAUGGCCUUGGCUUAAGUUCCUUCGAACAGGACAUCAUGGAGGGUGAAAAUCCCGUGAAUAGCCUUGGUCCUAUGCCUAUGUGAACCCCCUUCAACGAGUCGAGUUGUUUGGGAAUGCAGCUCUAAAUGGGUGGUAUAUUUCAUCUAAAGCUAAAUACUGGCAGGAGACCGAUAGCGCACAAGUAGAGUGAUCGAAAGAUGAAAAGAACUUUGGAAAGAGAGUCAAAUAGUACGUGAAAUUGUUGAAAGGGAAGCACUUGCGCCUAGACUUGCUUGUAGUUGAUCAGCCGUCAUUUUUGAUGGUGCACUUGACUGUAGGCAGGCCAGCAUCGGUUAUGGUGGUGAGAAAAAGGUGUAGGGAAUGUGGCUCCUUCGGGAGUGUUAUAGCCCUGUGCGUAAUAUUACCUAU
Molecule: ribosomal RNA, 565 nt
Filed under: Delastria rosea
Lineage: Eukaryota; Fungi; Ascomycota; Pezizomycetes; Pezizales; Pezizaceae
Description: eukaryotic LSU rRNA
Rfam family: Eukaryotic large subunit ribosomal RNA
Source: RNAcentral